RNAcentral lists this ribosomal RNA (421 nucleotides) under uncultured bacterium. RNAcentral's name for it is "bacterial SSU rRNA". It matches the Rfam family "Bacterial small subunit ribosomal RNA", at positions 358 to 772 of the family's 1533-position model. The record is from RNAcentral.
GGAAUCUUCCGCAAUGGACGCAAGUCUGACGGAGCAACGCCGCGUGAGUGAUGAAGGUUUUCGGAUCGUAAAGCUCUGUUGCCAGGGAAGAACGCCUAGGAGAGUAACUGCUCUUAGGGUGACGGUACCUGAGAAGAAAGCCCCGGCUAACUACGUGCCAGCAGCCGCGGUAAUACGUAGGGGGCAAGCGUUGUCCGGAAUUAUUGGGCGUAAAGCGCGCGCAGGCGGUGGAUUAAGUUUGGUGUUUAAUCCCGGGGCUCAACCCCGGGUCGCACUGAAAACUGGUUCACUUGAGUGCGGGAGAGGAAAGUGGAAUUCCACGUGUAGCGGUGAAAUGCGUAGAGAUGUGGAGGAACACCAGUGGCGAAGGCGACUUUCUGGACCGUAACUGACGCUGAGGCGCGAAAGCGUGGGGAGCAAA